CUCUACUUUGAGGCACUCCGUGUCAGUGGGUUCAAAGUUACGAGCUGCAUUUGAAUGCAUUGCUAGAGCUGGAAAAUCCGAGCUGUGGAUUGGCCCGUGAAGAGACAGGAAGUUCGCUUUAGACAGGAAGUAGUUUGUUUUGAAACCGGUUUGGAAACUUCAAUCUGGAUCCAAACUGUUUCGUCUCCUGAAAACCAGACACAGCUCGAGCUCAGAGCCGCCAUGACACUUCACCUGAGCCGGGUACUCAGAUCAGGGGUUUUGCUCCCAGCAACUUCUCCUGGAGGGCGGCUGCUUAUGUGGACUCGUACUGUUGGGGAGCCGUGCACACACACUCUCUACCUCUGUGGCUUCACAAGGGACACACACACACACACACAAAUUCAAAAUAAACGUAGUUCAAACUAAACAUAGAGUUUUUUCACUUGUCUGAGUUACUGAUACAUUCCUUUAAAAUGUAAUGAAAUAUAUGUGCUUUUAUUUCUAUAGAUCGUGUACUUCAUAUUCUGAAAUCAAAUAUGGCAUCACUCGAUCAUCACCACUAGGUGACAGUAUCGUCCAGUGAUUUUCGGUUUGAUGGUGACUGAACGGAUGUACACAGACUCACACCAGGACGGACAGACACACUGACAACACACAACACAGACUCACACCAGGACUGUGACGGACACAUGUGAUGAGAAGUGACUUUUCUAUUUCAGACGAUUGAUGUACACAUGUUGAACAGAGUGUAGUUCAUACUCCAGGUCAGUAGGCGGCAGCACUCAGGAUGUCGGUCACUCACUACAAGUAAACAAAGAAAGCGGAAGUGGUUCCAUUCAGAGGAGAAAAGUGCGCGAUUAAGGUUUUUUAGUUUUUUUCUGAAUUUCAGAGGUAGAUCAAACUUCAUUUGUUUCAGUUUCAUUCAUCUUUGAUUCACUUGAACUGACAGUUGAGCUGUUUUUAGAAGUUAAAUGAGAUAAAACAGACGGUUUUAGUUCAGCCUUUCAUAUGUAAAUACCGCACUGCAUGAUGGGAGACGUAAGCACGGUUCAUCAGAUAGAGUAAAUAAUGUCUGUCCGGUGUUGUACUAAACAGGAUCGUGUGUGUGGCGCUGCUGCUGAGUCCCACUCCCCUGCAGCCGGUGCUUCAGUGGACGUAGUGAUAGUCAGCACCGUCAGUCAUGAUGGUCUGUGUGUGAGUCAGUUCCCUGUCUGUGACGUGUACAACUCAUACUUACCUGGCAGGGGAGACACCAUGAUCAAGAAGGUGGUUCACCCAGGGCGAGGCUCAGCCAUUGCACUUCGGCUGUCUGACCCUUGCGAAUUCCUCAAAUGUGGGAAUCUCGACUGCAUAAUUUGUGGUAGUGGGGGACUGCGUUCGCGCUCUCCCCUGAUAAA
This is a long non-coding RNA of Pleuronectes platessa (European plaice), 1379 nucleotides long. RefSeq lists it as uncharacterized. The record is from RefSeq and is a predicted model, not a curated record. NCBI's taxonomy places the organism in Eukaryota, Metazoa, Chordata, Actinopteri, Pleuronectiformes, Pleuronectidae. The transcript has 2 exons.